GGUUUGGUAGGGUUCUUAUCUAAUAAGAUCAGAUGAUAUCACUCCAUCAAUCAGAAUUUUUUCAGAAUUAACUAGAAUUUUCUGAUUGAUCGAAUGAUGUGGCACUGCAUGGCGCAGCAGGGUCUAUUUAAACCCUGUCUGCGCCUAGGGUUAUGUCUCUCAGCUCAAUACCCAGCAAAAAUGUGAAACCCCUCCACCUCUCCAUGCCCCCUCU
This 214-nucleotide long non-coding RNA is filed under the name Elaeis guineensis (African oil palm). RNAcentral's name for it is "long non-coding RNA (EGUI_LNC051778)". Lineage: Eukaryota; Viridiplantae; Streptophyta; Magnoliopsida; Arecales; Arecaceae. The record is from RNAcentral.